RNAcentral lists this long non-coding RNA (1944 nucleotides) under Marmota monax (woodchuck). The stretch from base 1046 to 1114 matches the Rfam family "tRNA". Lineage: Eukaryota; Metazoa; Chordata; Mammalia; Rodentia; Sciuridae. The record is from RNAcentral.
CUCGGAUUUAUUCUGCUUUCUUUGGCUGUUAAGAACUGGAUAUUUCUUGUUAAAAAACCACAGAAGGUGCUGAUAGAAUUCCCAUGGUUCCCUCUCAAAGUACUUUUCCUGUCUUUUUCCUUUCAAGUCAUUUUCCUUUCUUUCUACUGCUCUUGCUCAUCUCACCUUCUGGAAAACCCUUCCUAACCCUGACCAAGACCUACUCACUCAGGUUCCUGUCCACCUCUCCUAUCAUCAUCAGAAAAAAAUUUCAUUCAGGCUCCAGCUGCCUCCAAACCAGGGAAGCUGAAGGAAUAUUUAAAACAAGUGAACUCAUUUUAAUGUUAGCUUAAGUUACGCAAAUGUCAUUAGUACAUAGUAGGCUCUGAAUGUAUUUAACUUAUUUGAAAUGAAAUGCAGAAGCACUAUGUGCACUUGAGAGCCAAGGAAAAUUUAACUUUUAAAUUAUUUAUGCACAUGUAAUUAUCAAAAUCUCCAACUCUUAAUUUAGACAGACCCCAAUUUAGACCUAAGUUUAAUUACCGGUUGUGACCUUGGAAAACUCACUUCACUUCUCUGAACUGCCUUAUCUAUAAAAUGAAAAUCAUAAUAACAUGUCCCACAGGGCUUUUGAGAAGAUUAAAUGUGAUACUGUAUGUAAAUGAGCCCUGUGCUCAUACUGAACGGUUAUAGGCUCAACUGCAUCAUUCUGACUGUAUGGACGUAUCUGUCAUAUCUUCUCUCUGUGCACCUCUGAUUUUUAACCAUGAUUUUUAUGAGGCGGGGGGUGCCAGAAUGACCCUCUGUGGGAGUGGAUUUCCCUAGCUGACUGAUCUCACAUGUGUACACCCAAGAGAGUUCGGAUACAACCCCAUGGUAUUGGGGUAGAUUCAAGAAAAGGGUUCAGAUCAUUGAAUUUGAGACAUAAGAUUAAUACCUGUGUAAUGAACAAACAAUGCUAUACCAGGCUCUGAUACAUAGUUGCUAACUUUUGGAAACAUUAUUUAUUUAUUCAUUCAUUUGCCCAAACAUUUUCUGAAAAAUCUCUUAUGUCUCAGGCUAUGAUGGGGUUGUAGCUCAGUAGCAGAGCACUUGCCUGGCACAUGUGAGGCACUGGGUUCAGUCCUCAACCCCACAUAAAAAUAAAUAAAACAAAAGGUAUUGUGUCCAUCUACAACUAAAAAUAUUUUUUAAAAAAUACCAUGUUCCUUUCCAUAUACAAAUGAUGAGACAAAUUGGACUCAUUCACUGGAAAACACUUCAAUUCAAUGAUGUAAGGGAACAUUGUGCUUUAUUACAACAGAAUUAGAACCACCAGCAUCCAGAGAGGAAGAACAUCCUGAAGCUGCCACCGUUUCUGCCUCCCUCAGGUUUCCCAUCUUUGUAGUUCCUCUCUGGCCCAAGCACAGAUUUAAAAACUGCUGCUGUUAGAUGAAACAGAUUAGAAUUCCCCCCAAAAUAUUUACUAAAUAAAAGAGAGAACAAGAGAACAUUUUUGAAAGCACUCUGAAACAGUGCUAUGACUUUGGAAAAUUAUUUGACAGUAUCUACUAAGACAGACCAAAUCAUGCAUACCCCUUAGGAACUGGCAAUUUUAGAAGAAGUAUGUCUAAUGUGCUUUUUUCUGUAUGUGUUAGAAUGUUAAUAACAGCACUGUUUGUUAAAGCCAAACACUGGAAACAGCCUCAGUGUCCAUAUGCAAUAGGAAGAAUAAGUUAGAGCAUCUUCACCCAGUGGAGUACCACAUGGUACAAGAACAAACAAACUAGAACUACUUGCAAUAGAAGUGUGAGCUCACCAAUGAAACGUUGAGUGAAGGAAUCCAGACACAAAAGAGGAUCCCCUCGAUGAAUCCAUGUAUCUCAUGUUCUAAAACAGUCAAAACAAUUCGAAGGUGUUUAAAAUUAAGUUGGUGAUUGUUGUUGGAGCUAAUGACUGAAGGGGGCACAGAGACUCUUGGGGAGC